Molecule: ribosomal RNA, 824 nt
Filed under: uncultured soil bacterium
Lineage: Bacteria
Description: bacterial SSU rRNA
Rfam family: Bacterial small subunit ribosomal RNA
Source: RNAcentral
AGAGCGAACGCUGGCGGCAGGCUUAACACAUGCAAGUCGAGCGCUGUAGCAAUACAGAGCGGCAGACGGGUGAGUAACGCGUGGGAACAUACCCUUCGGUUCGGAAUAGCUCAGGGAAACUUGAAUUAAUACCGGAUACGGCCGGGAGGCGAAAGAUUUAUCGCCGAAGGAUUGGCCCGCGUUCGAUUAGCUAGUUGGCGAGGUAACGGCUCACCAAGGCGACGAUCGAUAGCUGUCUGAGAGGAUGAUCAGCCACAUUGGGACUGAGACACGGCCCAAACUCCUACGGGAGGCAGCAGUGGGGAAUAUUGGACAAUGGGCGCAAGCCUGAUCCAGCCAUGCCGCGUGAGUGAUGACGGCCUUAGGGUUGUAAAGCUCUUUCGCUAGGGACGAUAAUGACGGUACCUAGACAAGAAGCCCCGGCUAACUUCGUGCCAGCAGCCGCGGUAAUACGAAGGGGGCUAGCGUUGUUCGGAAUUACUGGGCGUAAAGCGCAUGUAGGCGGGUCUUUAAGUCAGGGGUGAAAUGCCAAGGCUCAACCUUGGAACUGCCUUUGAUACUGGAGAUCUUGAGUCCGGGAGAGGUGAGUGGAACUGCGAGUGUAGAGGUGAAAUUCGUAGAUAUUCGCAAGAACACCAGUGGCGAAGGCGGCUCACUGGCCCGGAACUGACGCUGAGAUGCGAAAGCGUGGGGAGCAAACAGGAUUAGAUACCCUGGUAGUCCACGCUGUAAACGAUGGAUGCUAGCCGUUGGGGAGCUUGCUCUUCAGUGGCACCGCUAACGCUUUAAGCAUCCCGCCUGGGGAGUACGGUCGCAAGAUUAAA